This 415-nucleotide ribosomal RNA is filed under the name uncultured Rhizobium/Agrobacterium group bacterium. RNAcentral's name for it is "bacterial SSU rRNA". It matches the Rfam family "Bacterial small subunit ribosomal RNA", at positions 358 to 790 of the family's 1533-position model. Lineage: Bacteria; Pseudomonadati; Pseudomonadota; Alphaproteobacteria; Hyphomicrobiales; Rhizobiaceae. The record is from RNAcentral.
GGAAUAUUGGACAAUGGGCGCAAGCCUGAUCCAGCCAUGCCGCGUGAGUGAUGAAGGCCUUAGGGUUGUAAAGCUCUUUCACCGGUGAAGAUAAUGACGGUAACCGGAGAAGAAGCCCCGGCUAACUUCGUGCCAGCAGCCGCGGUAAUACGAAGGGGGCUAGCGUUGUUCGGAAUUACUGGGCGUAAAGCGCACGUAGGCGGAUAUUUAAGUCAGGGGUGAAAUCCCAGAGCUCAACUCUGGAACUGCCUUUGAUACUGGGUAUCUUGAGUAUGGAAGAGGUAAGUGGAAUUGCGAGUGUAGAGGUGAAAUUCGUAGAUAUUCGCAGGAACACCAGUGGCGAAGGCGGCUUACUGGUCCAUUACUGACGCUGAGGUGCGAAAGCGUGGGGAGCAAACAGGAUUAGAUACCCGAG